This 505-nucleotide ribosomal RNA is filed under the name uncultured bacterium. Its description in RNAcentral is "SSU rRNA". It matches the Rfam family "Bacterial small subunit ribosomal RNA", at positions 26 to 521 of the family's 1533-position model. The record is from RNAcentral.
AGGACGAACGCUGGCGGCGCGCUUAACACAUGCAAGUCGAGCGAGAACCAAGACCUUCGGGUCUUGGGGACAGCGGCGAACGGGUGAGUAACACGUGAGUAAUCCACCCUUGGUACCGGGAUAGCUCGGGGAAACCCGAAUUAAUACCGGAUAGCCCAUUGGCCUCUUGGGGCGAAUGGAAAAGGUAGCUUCGGCCUCCGACCAAGGACGAGCUCGCGGCGGAUUAGCUUGUUGGUGGGGUAAUGGCCCACCAAGGCGACGAUCCGUAGCUGGUCUGAGAGGACGAUCAGCCACACUGGGACUGAGACACGGCCCAGACUCCUACGGAGGCAGCAGUGGGGAAUCUUGCGCAAUGGGCGAAAGCCUGACGCAGCGACGCCGCGUGAGGGAAGAAGGCCUUCGGGUUGUAAACCUCUUUCAGAAGGGACGAAGCCACUCGGGUAAUAGCCAGAGGUGACGGUACCUUCAGAAGAAGCCCGGCUAACUACGUGCCAGCAGCCGCGGU